Thalassophryne amazonica is the source of this 950-nucleotide long non-coding RNA. RefSeq lists it as uncharacterized. NCBI's taxonomy places the organism in Eukaryota, Metazoa, Chordata, Actinopteri, Batrachoidiformes, Batrachoididae. The record is from RefSeq and is a predicted model, not a curated record. The transcript is spliced from 3 exons.
AAAAAUAAAAUGUGCAUCACGUGCGGCCUUCAACGAUGUCAGACGUCAACUCCGAGACAUUCCAGGCAUACGGUAUGGUCUCAUAUAUCCUGCACGCCUUUGAAUUGCGACGAGUGAAGGAGUCACAAAGGACUUCACUUCAUCGGGAGAGGCGGCUGUCUCCGUGAAGACACUCACAUAGAAACAAGUUUUCUGCAAAGGUUUGAUUUUGUGAGCCAAUUGCCUUCAAAAUGACUUUGAACAUUACCUCUUAAAUUUAAUAAUGUGUGUGACGUUUUGUUUUACUCUAUUUUUGUAAAUUAGAAUGGCAAGGGCUUUAUUUUGUAAUUACAAUUACACUGAGUAUUUUUUAUAAGUAAGAUUUACAUUUUGCACAUUUAAAUAUGUUAAAUAUACACCUUGUAGUUUGUUCAGUUAAAUAGUUUAUAGUUAUGCAGGAGCUCCGGGUUGGAUAAUUGUGAGUAUGGCGAUUAGGUCAGAUACUAGGAAUUUAGCAGUAGGAGUUUUAGCUCCUUGUGGAGCUUGCACUGAUACCUCAUCAUUUGGGGAUGGGGUAAUGGUAAGUGCGGGGGGAGGGGGGUCAGGGUCAUUGUUAUUUUGUCUUUUUUUUAAGCUUUUCUUUUUUAAGGGGGAGGGGGGCAAAACAUGAUCGCUACCUCAUAUUUGACACAAACUGUAGAUGGUUGGUACUAAGAUGUCAGAUGUGAGAUUUAUUAGUUGGAACAUUAAAGGUUUGGGGAGUGCAGUCAAACAUUCAAGGGUAUUUUCUCAUUUAAAGCGGUUAAAACCUGACAUUGUCUUUUUGCAGGAGACACAUAUGAGAACUAACAAUCAAGCUCGACUAAAAUGUCCCUGGGUUGCUGAAGUUUUUCAUUCCAGCUUCAAUUCCAAGGCCAGAGGGGUUGCCAUCCUGAUAGGUAAAACAGUCCCAUUUACACAGACAAAAAUGA